GUUUAACGGCCGCGGUAUCCUAACCGUGCAAAGGUAGCGCAAUCAAUUGUCCCAUAAAUCGAGACUAGUAUGAAUGGCUAAACGAGGUCUUAACUGUCUCUUGCAGGCAAUCGGUGAAAUUGAUCUCCCUGUGCAAAAGCAGGGAUAAACCCAUAAGACGAGAAGACCCUGUGGAACUUCAAAACCAGCGACCACCCCAAUAAGACACAAACACCCACCGGGUUCACCAACACAUUGGGACGAUGGUCCGCGUUUUUCGGUUGGGGCGACCUUGGAGAAAAACAAAUCCUCCAAAAAUUAGACCACACCUCUAGACCUAGAGCAACCUCUCAACGUGCUAACAGCAACCAGACCCAAUACAAUUGACCUAUGGACCAAGCUACCCCAGGGAUAACAGCGCAAUCUCCCCCGAGAGUCCGUAUCGACGGGGAGGUUUACGACC
RNAcentral lists this ribosomal RNA (442 nucleotides) under Toxostoma rufum. RNAcentral describes it as "partial large subunit ribosomal RNA". It matches the Rfam family "Archaeal large subunit ribosomal RNA", at positions 1999 to 2594 of the family's 2987-position model. The record is from RNAcentral. Lineage: Eukaryota; Metazoa; Chordata; Aves; Passeriformes; Mimidae.